GAUGAAGAACGUAGCAAAAUGCGAUAAUUAAUGUGAAUUGCAGAAUUCAGUGAAUCAUCGAAUCUUUGAACGCACAUUGCGCCCGCCAGUAUUCUGGCGGGCAUGCCUGUUCGAGCGUCAUUUCAACCCUCAAGCCCAGCUUGGUGUUGGGAUCUGUCCUUACCGACAGUCCCCAAAUUGAUUGGCGGUCACGUCGAGCUUCCAUAGCGUAGUAAUUUACACAUCGUUACUGGUAAUCGUCGCGGCCACGCCGUUAAACCCCAACUUCUGAAUGUUGACCUCGGAUCAGGUAGGAAUACCCGCUGAACUUAAGCAUAUCAAUAAGCGGAGGA
Molecule: unclassified non-coding RNA, 332 nt
Filed under: soil metagenome
Description: partial contains 5.8S ribosomal RNA, internal transcribed spacer 2, and large subunit ribosomal RNA
Rfam family: 5.8S ribosomal RNA (bases 1-120)
Source: RNAcentral